UACGGAGGGUGCAAGCGUUAUCCGGAUUUACUGGGUUUAAAGGGUGCGUAGGCGGGCCCUUAAGUCAGUGGUGAAAGCUCCGAGCUUAACUCGGAAACUGCCAUUGAUACUAUUGGUCUUGAAUUCGGUCGAGGUUGGCAGAAUGUGUCGUGUAGCGGUGAAAUGCUUAGAUAUGACACAGAACACCGAUUGCGAAGGCAGCUAGCUAGACCGACAUUGACGCUGAGGCACGAAAGCGUGGGGAUCAAACAGG
RNAcentral lists this ribosomal RNA (253 nucleotides) under uncultured bacterium. RNAcentral's name for it is "partial 16S ribosomal RNA". It matches the Rfam family "Bacterial small subunit ribosomal RNA", at positions 524 to 776 of the family's 1533-position model. The record is from RNAcentral.